RNAcentral lists this ribosomal RNA (1244 nucleotides) under metagenome. Its description in RNAcentral is "bacterial LSU rRNA". It matches the Rfam family "Bacterial large subunit ribosomal RNA", at positions 1564 to 2816 of the family's 2925-position model. The record is from RNAcentral.
UGAGUACGAGAUGCUACGGCAUCGAAGCAGUCUAUGUCAUACUUCCAAGAAAAGCUUGCAAUGUCAUAAACAAAUAAUGCCUGUACCAUAACCGACACAGGUGGGUAGGUAGAGUAUACUAAGGGGCGCGAGAUAACUCUCUCUAAGGAACUCGGCAAAAUGACUCCGUAACUUCGGGAGAAGGAGUGCCUUAUUUUUAUAAGGUUGCAAUAACAAGAUCCAAGCAACUGUUUACCAAAAACACAGGUCUCCGCUAAGUCGUAAGACGAUGUAUGGGGGCUGACGCCUGCCCAGUGCCAGAAGGUUAAAGAAGUUGGUUAGCAUUAGCGAAGCUGAUAACUGAAGCCCUGGUGAACGGCGGCCGUAACGAUAACGGUCCUAAGGUAGCGAAAUUCCUUGUCGGGUAAGUUCCGACCCGCACGAAAGGCGUAAUGAUUUGGAUACUGUCUCGGAGAGGGGCUCGGUGAAAUAGACUUGUCUGUGAAGAUGCGGACUACCUGCACCUGGACAGAAAGACCCUAUGAAGCUUUACUGUAACUUGAGAUUGAAAUUGGACUUUAUCUGCGCAGUAUAGGUGGGAGACGUUGAAAAUAUUCUUGCGGGAAUAUUGGAGUCAUCAGUGAGAUACCACUCUUAUAAUGUUAGAUUUCUAACUUUGUAUCAUUAUCUGGUCAAAGAACAGUUUCAGGCGGGCAGUUUGACUGGGGCGGUCGCCUCCCAAACGGUAACGGAGGCGCACAAAGGUUUCCUCUGAACGUGUAGAAAUCGUAUCUAGAGUGUAAAGGCAUAAGGAAGCUUGACUGUGAGACCUACAAGUCGAGCAGGGACGAAAGUCGGUCUUAGUGAUCUGACGGUGCUGAGUGGAAAGGCCGUCACUCAACGGAUAAAAGUUACUCUAGGAUAACAGGCUGAUCUCCCCCAAGAGUUCACAUCGACGGGGAGGUUUGGCACCUCGAUGUCGGCUCAUCGCAUCCUGGGGCGGUAGUACGUCCCAAGGGUUGGGCUGUUCGCCCAUGAAAGCGGUACGCGAGCUGGGUUCAGAACGUCGUGAGACAGUUCGGUCCAUAUCCGGUGUAGGCGUUAGAAUAUUGAGAGGAGCCUUCUUUAGUACGAGAGGACCGAGAAGGACAUACCUCUGGUGUACCAGUUAUCGUGCCAACGGUAAACGCUGGGUAGCCAUGUAUGGAGAGGAUAACCGCUGAAAGCAUCUAAGUGGGAAGCCCACCUCAAGAUAAGUAUUCUCU